RNAcentral lists this microRNA (22 nucleotides) under Callorhinchus milii (elephant shark). Its description in RNAcentral is "eshark_NOVEL_344". The record is from RNAcentral. Lineage: Eukaryota; Metazoa; Chordata; Chondrichthyes; Chimaeriformes; Callorhinchidae.
AUCGCUGACCUUUGUGUUCCAG